CUCUCAAGAAUCCGGCAUGAAAUUGCGGCUUUCGCUGCUGCUGGGCCUGCAAUGCAAUGGACCUCACUCCGGUAUCUCUCUCUCGCUGUCCACUUGCCUUACGUUCCCCGCCUUGAUUAGCUGACGAAGUCGCCUCGUCAAAUCCGUCAACGUUCCUGCUGAUUUCUACGAGCUCCUGCAGUGACUCAACAGUUCGGUUGCAGACAAGAGUUGGGCUUUGGAGGAUUGGCCAAUGUCGGCCAGCAUAAGUCUCGUGGAUCUGGGUGGUGGCUUGAUUCGACAGAUUGACCCUUCACUGAAUGGCGACAAUGAGCUGCUGGUGCGAAAUCGGUCGUGUUUCAUGGCCGAAGUCUUCAUUCAUGUUUGAGUUUGUAGGAAAGAUAUUGAGCACUGCCGAUGGAACGAGAUUUAAUACUAAAACUUAGAGAGAGGCAUAUCGUGAAGUGCACGUAAUCUAUGCUGUGUUUUUUAAGCCAAUUCUUUUGUGGCGAUUUGGCAAUUUGACUUGGUUAAAGGUUGGUUCUCAUGGUUCUCAUGGGUUGAUGGUUAGGUGGGUCAAUUUCAACAAGUCAAUGGUUGCCAUGCCGUGGCAACGAACCUGUUAGUGGUUCAUCCAUGCUUGCUGCAUAAAAAGGAAAGUGAUGCGGUUAGAAAUAGCCUAAAACCUUGAGGUUCCCCUAAUCAACGUGUUGCUUUGUUUUGGUUAUAGCCUCAGAGUUUUCUGCAUGUUUUUUUUUCUUUUUCUAUUUUUAUUCUUUUGAAUUUCACCUUUUCCCUUAAAAUUAAACCUUGAAUUAUCGAUAUGGGGAUUUAGCGCAGCUAGCUCUACACUAACUGUCGGUUUCAUCAGUUCAAUCGGUAGCUGUUACAAAAUGUCAUCGGAGGGAUUCUCUUCAUGUAUAGACUGGGACUGUGGAAUAGGAGACGAAAUCGUAAGUUUGCGAUGAGGUUGCAGUGAUGUGAGCAAGACAAGAAAUACGACUAUUAAACCCGAUGUAAGGCCAUUGACUUUGUGGAUCUGCGACAAGUGGACCACAUCGGCACAAUGAUGGGACGUUGUAUGCAUGGACACUUCUUUAAAAUUUUGAUCAUCCCGAUUGAGAGAGGAUUUUAGCUUCUAGACUGAACUGGGCCUGCGAAUCUGCUGAAUGAUCUGCUUCCCUUUUGACUUUCGCUGCAAUAGUGCAAGUGCGGUUGUGGGUCGAAGGUUUUCGUUGCAAGUUGCGAGGCGAAGCAAGCAAAGACUUGUCGGGGUUUGACAUUCGCCCAAAUAUAUACUCUGCGAAGAGGCGUGCAAGACUUUGCUGCUAAAGUUUAUAAGAGUGGAGGACCGGCCACCGAUUGCAAGGUUCAGAUGGGAAGAGUUUCGGUGCGCAGGAUGUUGGCGUGUGAGUAUGCGUUCAUCUUGGUGCUGCUGGUGACGACGCCGUGCAGCGCUGCCCGAAUCCUGCGAGAUGGCUCAGCGUCCAAUAUCUACACUGCUAUGCGAGCAGGAUUAAGUACAGCACUGUGCCAAGGUCCAAAAUUCUCGCAACAAAACCUAUGUUGAAUCUGACGAGAUUGCUGUGAUCCCAUUGUUUUAGCAAUGUCUAGGAAACAGCUCCGUUGAAGAGAGCCACAAAACUGGGAAACUGCUAAUGAAAUGGAUUGAUCGACAAACUGGUGAUGGUAACGUGCCCGCUAGAUUGGAAGGUAGCGAUCGAAUGCAUAGACAAUGGGUUCGCCUUCUGAUCGAGGAAAUACACAUCGACUAUGCUGAACCAGCACCAAAUCCUAGCGCCCCACACAAUGCCACUCCAUGAAAGAAAUACGACUUUUGUAAUUGGUUACGAGGCUUAGUCUUUGUGACAGCCCGGAAUGGGCACGCAAGGUCGAUGAGUGGACUCGCCUGCCGGUCGAGUGGGGCAGAUCACACUAGACGAUGGUUCACCCAGCGGUUGUGUGUUUACAUGGAAUCAUAUUUUUCUGAAUGAACACAUUUAGAGACUGUUGACAAAAUCAACGACUGUGUAUAGUGAUGGAAAAUUCCACGUGCAAAUGUAAGCUUUUUCGGUUCGAGUUUCAUCACCGAAGAAGAGUCUUCGAAUAGUAA
This is a non-coding RNA of Physcomitrium patens, 2092 nucleotides long. NCBI's taxonomy places the organism in Eukaryota, Viridiplantae, Streptophyta, Bryopsida, Funariales, Funariaceae. The record is from RefSeq and is a predicted model, not a curated record.